RNAcentral lists this ribosomal RNA (649 nucleotides) under Laccaria sp. 5 SGT-2012. RNAcentral describes it as "eukaryotic LSU rRNA". The stretch from base 228 to 381 matches the Rfam family "5.8S ribosomal RNA". The record is from RNAcentral. Lineage: Eukaryota; Fungi; Basidiomycota; Agaricomycetes; Agaricales; Hydnangiaceae.
GAGUGACUGUUAGCUGGCUUUUCGAAGCAUGUGCUCGUCCAUCAUCUUUAUCUCUCCACCUGGUGCACAUUUUGUAGUCUUGGAUACCUCUCGAGGAAACUCGGAUUUUAGGAUCGCCGUGCUGUACAAGUCGGCUUUUCUUUCAUUUCCAAGACUAUGUUUUUAUAUACACCAAAGUAUGUUUAUAGAAUGUCAUCAAUGGGAACUUGUUUCCUAUAAAAUUAUACAACUUUCAGCAACGGAUCUCUUGGCUCUCGCAUCGAUGAAGAACGCAGCGAAAUGCGAUAAGUAAUGUGAAUUGCAGAAUUCAGUGAAUCAUCGAAUCUUUGAACGCACCUUGCGCUCCUUGGUAUUCCGAGGAGCAUGCCUGUUUGAGUGUCAUUAAAUUCUCAACCUUCCAACUUUUAUUAGCUUGGUUAGGCUUGGAUGUGGGGGUUGCAGGCUUCAUCACUGAGGUCGGCUCUCCUUAAAUGCAUUAGCGGAACUUUUGUGGACCGUCUAUUGGUGUGAUAAUUAUCUACGCCGUGGAUGUGAAGCAGCUUUAUGAAGUUCUGCUUCUAACCGUCCAUUGACUUGGACAAUUUUGACAAUUUGACCUCAAAUCAGGUAGGACUACCCGCUGAACUUAAGCAUAUCAAUAAGCGGAGGA